This 162-nucleotide unclassified non-coding RNA is filed under the name uncultured Ascomycota. Its description in RNAcentral is "sequence contains ITS2". The record is from RNAcentral. Lineage: Eukaryota; Fungi; Ascomycota.
CGACCAUCAAGCCUUAAUUGCUUGUGUUGGAGCACUAUAAGCGAAAGCUGUAGGCUCUGAAAUAUAGCGGCGGACCUGUUGCGAUCCCGAACGUAGUAAAUAUCAACUCGUUUAGGGUAUCCAAUUGGUAACUUCUAGCCGUUAAACCCCCCAAUUUUACAU